This 633-nucleotide ribosomal RNA is filed under the name Vibrio sp. RNAcentral describes it as "bacterial SSU rRNA". It matches the Rfam family "Bacterial small subunit ribosomal RNA", at positions 385 to 1006 of the family's 1533-position model. The record is from RNAcentral. Lineage: Bacteria; Pseudomonadati; Pseudomonadota; Gammaproteobacteria; Vibrionales; Vibrionaceae.
GAUGCAGCCAUGCCGCGUGUAUGAAGAAGGCCUUCGGGUUGUAAAGUACUUUCAGCAGUGAGGAAGGGGGUGUACGUUAAUAGCGUGCAUCUUUGACGUUAGCUGCAGAAGAAGCACCGGCUAACUCCGUGCCCAGCAGCCGCGGUAAUACGGAGGGGUGCGAGCGUUAAUCGGAAUUACUGGGCGUAAAGGCGCAUGCAGGUGGUUUGUUAAGUCAGAUGUGAAAGCCCGGGGCUCAACCUCGGAAUAGCAUUUGAAACUGGCAGACUAGAGUACUGUAGAGGGGGGUAGAAUUUCAGGUGUAGCGGUGAAAUGCGUAGAGAUCUGAAGGAAUACCGGUGGCGAAGGCGGCCCCCUGGGACAGAUACUGACACUCAGAUGCGAAAGCGUGGGGAGCAAACAGGAUUAGAUACCCUGGUAGUCCACGCCGUAAACGAUGUCUACUUGGAGGUUGUGGCCUUGAGCCGUGGCUUUCGGAGCUAACGCGUUAAGUAGACCGCCUGGGGAGUACGGUCGCAAGAUUAAAACUCAAAUGAAUUGACGGGGGCCCGCACAAGCGGUGGAGCAUGUGGUUUAAUUCGAUGCAACGCGAAGAACCUUACCUACUCUUGACAUCCAUAGAACUUCCAGAGA